AAUCCAUAGGUUAAUGAGGCGAACCGGGGGAACUGAAACAUCUAAGUACCCCGAGGAAAAGAAAUCAACCGAGAUUCCCCCAGUAGCGGCGAGCGAACGGGGAGGAGCCCAGAGCCUGAAUCAGCAUGUGUGUUAGUGGAAGCGUCUGGAAAGGCGCGCGAUACAGGGUGACAGCCCCGUACACAAAAGCGCAUGUGCUGUGAGCUCGAUGAGUAGGGCGGGACACGUGGUAUCCUGUCUGAAUAUGGGGGGACCAUCCUCCAAGGCUAAAUACUCCUGACUGACCGAUAGUGAACCAGUACCGUGAGGGAAAGGCGAAAAGAACCCCGGCGAGGGGAGUGAAAAAGAACCUGAAACCGUGUACGUACAAGCAGUGGGAGCCCCACCACCAAAGCAUUUGCUGUACCGCGUUGACGGAGCG
This 421-nucleotide ribosomal RNA is filed under the name Salmonella enterica subsp. enterica serovar Enteritidis. Its description in RNAcentral is "partial 23S ribosomal RNA". It matches the Rfam family "Bacterial large subunit ribosomal RNA", at positions 161 to 595 of the family's 2925-position model. Lineage: Bacteria; Pseudomonadati; Pseudomonadota; Gammaproteobacteria; Enterobacterales; Enterobacteriaceae. The record is from RNAcentral.